RNAcentral lists this ribosomal RNA (639 nucleotides) under Isochrysis galbana. Its description in RNAcentral is "SSU rRNA". It matches the Rfam family "Eukaryotic small subunit ribosomal RNA", at positions 299 to 943 of the family's 1831-position model. Lineage: Eukaryota; Haptophyta; Isochrysidales; Isochrysidaceae. The record is from RNAcentral.
UCAAGUUUCUGCCCUAUCAGCUUUCGAUGGUAGGAUAGAGGCCUACCAUGGCGUUAACGGGUAACGGGGAAUUAGGGUUCGAUUCCGGAGAGGGAGCCUGAGAAAUGGCUACCACAUCCAAGGAAGGCAGCAGGCGCGUAAAUUGCCCGAAUCCUGACACAGGGAGGUAGUGACAAGAAAUAACAAUACAGGGCUCUUCGAGUCUUGUAAUUGGAAUGAGUACAAUUUACAUCUCUUCACGAGGAUCAAUUGGAGGGCAAGUCUGGUGCCAGCAGCCGCGGUAAUUCCAGCUCCAAUAGCGUAUAUUAAAGUUGUUGCAGUUAAAACGCUCGUAGUCGGAUUUCGGGGCGGGCCCGCCGGUCUGCCGAUGGGUAUGCACUGGCGGGGGCGCCCUUCCUCCCGGAGACGGCUGCUACUCUUAACUGAGCGGUGGCCGGAGACGGGAUAUUUACUUUGAAAAAAUCAGAGUGUUUCAAGCAGGCAGUCGCUCUUGCAUGGAUUAGCAUGGGAUAAUGAAAUAGGACUCUGGUGCUAUUUUGUUGGUUUCGAGCACCGGAGUAAUGAUUAACAGGGACAGUCAGGGGCACUCGUAUUCCGCCGAGAGAGGUGAAAUUCUCAGACCAGCGGAAGACGAACUAC